RNAcentral lists this transfer RNA (87 nucleotides) under Mycoplasma sp. Ms02. RNAcentral describes it as "tRNA-Leu". It matches the Rfam family "tRNA". From Rfam's summary of the family: Transfer RNA (tRNA) molecules are approximately 80 nucleotides in length. Their secondary structure includes four short double-helical elements and three loops (D, anti-codon, and T loops). The record is from RNAcentral. Lineage: Bacteria; Bacillati; Mycoplasmatota; Mollicutes; Mycoplasmatales; Mycoplasmataceae.
GCCCAGAUGGCGGAAUAGGUAGACGCAAGGGACUUAAAAUCCCUCGGUAGUAAUAUCGUGCUGGUUCAAGUCCAGUUCUGGGCACCA